UGGAGGAAGUGCCAGUCCGCGAAGUGCAUGAAGCUCCCACUGGGCAUGAAGUGGUUGCUGGAGUCUGACUUUGAGGUGACGUUGAAGACCUUGCCCUGGUUGGGUUUGGCCCUCAGGUCACUGGUGUACUUGUUUCGGAUGGCGUCCUUCAGGAACCGCUCCAGGAAGGUCCUCAUUCAGGGUGUAACUGUGAU
This is a long non-coding RNA of Gavialis gangeticus (Gharial), 194 nucleotides long. RefSeq lists it as uncharacterized. The record is from RefSeq and is a predicted model, not a curated record. The transcript has 3 exons. NCBI's taxonomy places the organism in Eukaryota, Metazoa, Chordata, Crocodylia, Gavialidae.